RNAcentral lists this transfer RNA (71 nucleotides) under Isosphaeraceae bacterium. Its description in RNAcentral is "tRNA-Cys". It matches the Rfam family "tRNA". Rfam says of the family: Transfer RNA (tRNA) molecules are approximately 80 nucleotides in length. Lineage: Bacteria; Pseudomonadati; Planctomycetota; Planctomycetia; Isosphaerales; Isosphaeraceae. The record is from RNAcentral.
GGCGCCGUCGCCAAGUGGUAAGGCAGAGGUCUGCAAAACCUCCACCGCCGGUUCGAAUCCGGCCGGCGCCU